UGUUGAGCAGGUUGGUGUUUU
This is a non-coding RNA of Caenorhabditis elegans, 21 nucleotides long. The record is from Ensembl. Lineage: Eukaryota; Metazoa; Nematoda; Chromadorea; Rhabditida; Rhabditidae.